Oreochromis niloticus (Nile tilapia) is the source of this 1549-nucleotide long non-coding RNA. RefSeq annotates it as gypsy retrotransposon integrase-like protein 1. The record is from RefSeq and is a predicted model, not a curated record. NCBI's taxonomy places the organism in Eukaryota, Metazoa, Chordata, Actinopteri, Cichliformes, Cichlidae. The transcript is spliced from 11 exons.
GUACCAACGAUGCAUAUGCCACCAUCUACCAAGAUGACACUAUCAUCAAUAGCGACAAGUGGGCAGAGUCAUCACAUCCUGCUUGUGUCCCAAGAUUUAAAAAAGAGGCUGACAUUCUUAGUGCCACUCUUGCUUCACAACACAGCACCAGCUCAGAUCUCGUCACUCUUACCACCCCCAGGUCCCAGUGCUGAACUGGGAGGCAUGAAUACACUGCACCACAAUUCUCCUGCAGCUGACCCACAGAACAUACCCCACCACGUGGUAAACCGGUGUUCUGGGAAUUUCUCCUACCCCGUAAACCGUCCUACCCGUUGUUCCUGAGCAUGUGCGCGCAUGCGCACAAUACAAAAAGGGAAGCAAAGCGCAUCCGGCUGUGAUUUAAUGCUACUCCGUUGUCAUAUUUGCAGGAAAAUAGCUUCGGUGAAGUCUGCUGUCAAGUUACUGGACACGUGGUAUUUGCACAACACUUCUGAAUCCGCAGCUUCGGUGUUUUAAGGCUGUUUCGAUAUGGAGAAGAAGUGGGAAGAGAUUUACGCGUUUAUUUCUGCUGGCUCCUACCCUUCAGGAUAUGACAAGGCUCAAAGGCAAAACCUCAGAAGAUAUGCCUCAAAAUUCAAACAAAAGGAUGGAGAACUCUUUGUUGGAACCAGAAGAGUAGUAAAAACCAUGGAUGAUGCCAGGAAGAUAUUUCAUGAGUUUCAUUCAUCUCCAAUUGGAGGACACACUGGCAUACACAAAACGCUCAGUGCAGUGUGUUCCAGAUUUUACUGGUUUGGUAUGACAGUUGACAUUAAAACAUGGAUUCUGGAAUGUGAUCAGUGUCAAAAAGUUGGGAAACCACUGACUGCUGUGCAACCGUUGCAGUGUAUUCAGGUGUCUGAAGUGUGGGAACUUAUUGGUAUAGAUCUUACUGGACCUCUUCCUAAAACGUCAAGCGGCUUCCAGUAUAUACUUACUGCAACUGACUACUUUUCAAAAUGGGUUGAAGCUUUCCCAUUAAAAACGAAAUCUGCAUCUGAGGUAGCCCAGCACUUGUGCUCCAUUAUAUAUAGACAUGGCUGCCCCAAAAGGAUUUUGUCAGACCAAGGCAGAGAGUUUGUGAAUGAACUCAACUCUAAUCUUUGCAAGUUAUUGCAAACUGAAAGAAGUGUCACAGCAGCAUACCAUCCACAGACCAAUGGUCUAGAUGAAAAGACCAAUGACAACAUAAAAAGAGCCCUCCGAAAACUGGUGAAUGACCAGCAGAAUAACUGGGAUCUGUAUCUAGAUCCCACCCUGUUUUCACUGCGGUCAAAAGUACAUACCACAACAUUUUACUCACCUUUUUUUCUGAUGUAUGGAAGAGAGGCAGUAUUUCCAUCAGAAGUGCCUGCUCAAGUGCCGUGAAGUGGCUUUGGGCUGCAAAAGACAACGGGCGUGUGGAGGCAGUCGUUGGGCCAUACAAAUUGUAUGACUCUUCUUUUCGCACACUGGAGGACAGUGGGUGGCUUUCUGAUGAGGUAAGUGAAGUAAUCAUUUUUGGUCCUAGUGGUGGUCUGUAAAAAUA